Molecule: ribosomal RNA, 169 nt
Filed under: Leptoglossus gonagra
Lineage: Eukaryota; Metazoa; Arthropoda; Insecta; Hemiptera; Coreidae
Description: partial small subunit ribosomal RNA
Source: RNAcentral
UAGGUUAAUAAAUUGAUUGAGAUUGAUCCUGUCUUUAGUUUUAAAGUGAUUAGUUAUUUGAUAAUAUUAAAUAUAAGUUUUUGCGUGUUAGUUGAUUUAUCUUAAGGGUGAAUUAAUUUUAUUAUUUGUAGUUUUUGAUUUUGAAAAUUAUGGUAACAUAGAUUCAGUU